RNAcentral lists this small RNA (132 nucleotides) under Escherichia coli. RNAcentral describes it as "RtT sRNA". It matches the Rfam family "RtT RNA". Rfam says of the family: This family represents a bacterial cis-regulatory element known as RtT RNA. The exact function of RtT is unknown although it is thought that it may be involved in changing the cellular response in relation to amino acid starvation. RNAcentral also lists the same sequence under 1 other name. The record is from RNAcentral. Lineage: Bacteria; Pseudomonadati; Pseudomonadota; Gammaproteobacteria; Enterobacterales; Enterobacteriaceae.
GUUUGCACUCAUCGGGGAAGGGUGAGAACCUUCGACUAAGGUUCGAUUCGAGCGAAAGCGAGAGAACGUUGCCACAGGUAACGGCCCGAAGGGUGAGGAGCGAAGCGACGAAUAAUCCUUCCCCCACCACCA